AUUGAACGCUGGCGGAAUGCUUUACACAUGCAAGUCGAGCGGCAGCGCGGGGCAACCUGGCGGCGAGCGGCGAACGGGUGAGUAAUGCAUCGGAACAUGUCCAUGUCGUGGGGGAUAGCCCGGCGAAAGCCGGAUUAAUACCGCAUACGCUCGGGAGAGGAAAGCCGGGGACCGCAAGGCCUGGCGCGAUUGGGUUGGCCGAUGUCCGAUUAGCUAGUUGGUGAGGUAAAGGCUUACCAAGGCGAUGAUCGGUAGCUGGUCUGAGAGGAUGAUCAGCCACACGUGGACUGAGACACGGACCAGACUCCUACGGGAGGCAGCAGUGGGGAAUUUUGGACAAUGGGGGCAACCCUGAUCCAGCCAUUCCGCGUGAGUGAAGAAGGCCUUCGGGUUGUAAAGCUCUUUUGUCCGGAGCGAAACGGGCGCGGCUAAUACCUGCGUCCACUGACGGUACCGGAAGAAUAAGCACCGGCUAACUACGUGCCAGCAGCCGCCGUAA
This 499-nucleotide ribosomal RNA is filed under the name uncultured bacterium. RNAcentral's name for it is "partial 16S ribosomal RNA". It matches the Rfam family "Bacterial small subunit ribosomal RNA", at positions 29 to 523 of the family's 1533-position model. The record is from RNAcentral.